AUAUUGGGAAUGGGCGAAAGCCUGACCCAGCAACGCCGCGUGGAUGAUGAAGGCCCUAGGGUCGUAAAAUCCUUUUGCAGGGGACGAAUGUCCGGCCGGUGAAUAAUCGGUCGGAGUGACGGUACCCUCAGAGGAAGCACCGGCUAACUCUGUGCCAGCAGCCGCGGUAAUACAGAGGGUGCAAGCGUUGUUCGGAAUCACUGGGCGUAAAGCGCGCGCAGGCGGAUAGAGCAAGUCUGGAGUGAAAUCUCGCCGCUCAACGGCGGGGCUGCUUUGGAUACUGCAUAUCUGGAGAUCGGUAGAGGCUGGUAGAAUUGCUGGUGUAGCGGUGGAAUGCGUAGAGAUCAGCAAGAAUACCCGUGGCGAAGGCGGCCAGCUGGGCCGAAUCUGACGCUGAGGCGCGAAAGCGUGGGGAGCAAACAGG
Molecule: ribosomal RNA, 424 nt
Filed under: uncultured bacterium
Lineage: Bacteria
Description: bacterial SSU rRNA
Rfam family: Bacterial small subunit ribosomal RNA
Source: RNAcentral